This 497-nucleotide ribosomal RNA is filed under the name uncultured bacterium. RNAcentral's name for it is "partial 16S ribosomal RNA". It matches the Rfam family "Bacterial small subunit ribosomal RNA", at positions 28 to 507 of the family's 1533-position model. The record is from RNAcentral.
GAUGAACGCUGGCGGCGGGCCUAAUACAUGCAAGUCGAGCGGACAGACGAUGAGCUUUCUCCUCUGACGUUAGCGGCUGACGGGUGAGUAACACGUGCAUAACCUUCCUAUUAUACGUGGAUAACUUCGGAAGACCGGUUCUACUACCAGAUAAUAUAUUGAACCGCUGGGUUCAAUAGUUAAUCACGGUUUUGCUGUCACUUAUAGACGGUUCCGCGUCGCAUUAGCUAGUUGGUAAGGUAACGGCUUACCAAGGCAACGAUGCGUAGCCGACCUGAGAGGGUGAGCGGCCACACUGGAACUGAGACACGGUCCAGACUCCUACGGGAGGCAGCAGUAGGGAAUCUUACGCAAUGGGCGAAAGCUUGACGCAGCAACACCGCGUGAGUGAUGAAGGUCUUCGGCUCGUAAAGCUCUGUUAUUAGGGAAGAAAAGAUGUAUAAGUAAAUAUCGACGUAUUGACGGUACCUAAAGAAUAAGCCACGGCUAACUACGUG